GAUGAACGCUAGCGACAGGCUUAACACAUGCAAGUCGAGGGGCAGCGGGAUUGAAGCUUGCUUCAAUUGCCGGCGACCGGCGCACGGGUGAGUAACACGUAUGCAACCUGCCCGCCACAGGGGAAUAACCGGAAGAAAUUCCGACUAAUUCCGCGUAACACCGAAGUGAGGCAUCUCGUUUCGGUCAAAGGGGCAAUCCGGUGGCGGAUGGGCAUGCGGCGCAUUAGCUAGUUGGUGAGAUAACAGCCCACCAAGGCGACGAUCAGUAGCCGACCUGAGAGGGUGAUCGGCCACAUUGGGACUGAGACACGGCCCAG
This 317-nucleotide ribosomal RNA is filed under the name uncultured bacterium. RNAcentral's name for it is "bacterial SSU rRNA". It matches the Rfam family "Bacterial small subunit ribosomal RNA", at positions 28 to 334 of the family's 1533-position model. The record is from RNAcentral.